UCUCCGUUGGUGAACCAGCGGAGGGAUCAUUACCGAGUUUACAACUCCCAAACCCCUGUGAACAUACCAUUUGUUGCCUCGGCGGUGCCUGCUUCGGCAGCCCGCCAGAGGACCCAAACCCUUGAUUUUAUACAGUACCUUCUGAGUAAAUGAUUAAAUAAAUCAAAACUUUCAACAACGGAUCUCUUGGUUCUG
This 195-nucleotide unclassified non-coding RNA is filed under the name plant metagenome. RNAcentral describes it as "partial contains small subunit ribosomal RNA, internal transcribed spacer 1, and 5.8S ribosomal RNA". The record is from RNAcentral.